UUAUUUGUGCAACGCGAAGAACCUUUCCAAGGCUUGACUUACACCAGAACACCGUAGAAAUACGGGACUCUUUUGGCACUGGUGAAACAGGUGGUGCAUGGUUGUCGUCAGCUCGUGUCGUGAGAUGUUGGGUUAAGUCCCGCAACGAGCGCAACCCUCGUUUUAUGUUGCCAGCACGUAAUGGUGGGAACUCAUGGGAUACUGCCGGGGUCAACUCGGAGGAAGGUGGGGAUGACGUCAAAUCAUCAUGCCCCUUAUGUCUUGGGCUUCACGCAUGCUACAAUGGCCGGUACAAAGGGCUGCAAUACCGUGAGGUGGAGCGAAUCCCAAAAAGCCGGUCCCAGUUCGGAUUGAGGUCUGCAACUCGACCUCAUGAAGUCGGAGUCGCUAGUAAUCGCAGAUCAGCAACGCUGCGGUGAAUACGUUCCCGGGUCUUGUACACACCGCCCGUCAAGUCAUGAAAGUCGGUAACAUCUGAAGCCGCCGGGCCACCC
This 494-nucleotide ribosomal RNA is filed under the name Microbacterium sp. HPC9. RNAcentral describes it as "bacterial SSU rRNA". It matches the Rfam family "Bacterial small subunit ribosomal RNA", at positions 947 to 1440 of the family's 1533-position model. Lineage: Bacteria; Bacillati; Actinomycetota; Actinomycetes; Micrococcales; Microbacteriaceae. The record is from RNAcentral.